Molecule: long non-coding RNA, 209 nt
Filed under: Setaria viridis
Lineage: Eukaryota; Viridiplantae; Streptophyta; Magnoliopsida; Poales; Poaceae
Description: long non-coding RNA (SVIR_LNC009561)
Source: RNAcentral
GGGGGGUUUGGCGGCGGCGAGAGUUGUUCAUGCUGGGGAAGGUGCAACAACCACAGGAUAAUAUAGGUUCAUGCAUGUCGACUGUCGUUAUGGGAAUAUAGCAAACAGUAUCGGAGAACAAAGAAUGAAAAAGGAGAUUUGGAUAUGCUAAGAACUAACAAGGUGUUUAUAAUCGAACUCAAACUUAAAUUAUAAUUAUUACUUUUGGU